GGAAACAUAGUUCAGUUGGUUAGAGCAUCCACCUCAUAAGUGGACGGUCACAGGUUCGAAUCCUGUUGUUUCCA
RNAcentral lists this transfer RNA (74 nucleotides) under Lachnospiraceae bacterium TF10-8AT. RNAcentral describes it as "tRNA-Met". It matches the Rfam family "tRNA". From Rfam's summary of the family: Transfer RNA (tRNA) molecules are approximately 80 nucleotides in length. Their secondary structure includes four short double-helical elements and three loops (D, anti-codon, and T loops). The record is from RNAcentral. RNAcentral also lists the same sequence under 1 other name. Lineage: Bacteria; Bacillati; Bacillota; Clostridia; Lachnospirales; Lachnospiraceae.